CAGGGCCCAGGCUGCAGGACAGGCCCAGAUGGCAGCAGAGGGUUCCCUCGAUUCUGCAAUGGGAGCUCAUGGACCAUGCAGAUGACAGGGCCAGCGUUGGGUGGAGGGGGGGGUGGCUGUGCAGAUGACAGGGCCAGCGUCGGGGGUUGCUGCCCUUGCCCACCUUCAGGGCCUGCUAUGAAAGGCUGCUCCAUGGACACGCCCUUUGAGAUGCUUCUCAGGACAGGGGCUCAGGAUCCCCCGUGCCCAGCUCACUCCUGCUCGGGAAAGCCUGCCCCACCAGCGACCUUGCCUCUCCUCAUGCAUGAAAAUCAUCCUACUUUGCUCUUCACAAAAGUGUGGGUGGAGAAAACGGCCUUCAACACUCCUCAGAGCACCUCCUCGGAGCGGAAGCUGCUUCCUGGGGUGUGUUUCUGUUCUGGAGGUUGCACCUUCGAUCCUGAGGCGUGGGAGCUGGCCUGAGGUUGAAGGUGAGGCUGAGGACCUGGGUGAGGCUCCCCAAGGCCCCCGGCUGGGCUGAGCAAAGAACGGGAGCGUGCCCCCACCACUCACAGGGUGUCCACACCUGGAGAAGGAAACCACAGGCUUUGUCACCUUUGUCUUAAGUCAGUGGGACAAACCUAGAAAGUGAGGCAUUUUGGACAGCUCCAAGGUGGCUGUGUCCUGGCCUGCCCAGACCGAGGGCCCCGGGAUUCUGGAGGCGCAGAUUGGAUCCCAGGAUGCAUGACUAGUGACUCCUAAGGUGGGAACCCCUGGGUGAGCGAGGAGUGGGAGGCCGGUGCACAUCCACCUUCUGUCCCGGCCUCCUCUUCCGCCGGUCCUGUAUUUCUCUCGAAGUCUCAUCCCGGCCAUCAGAGCCUCAAGACUUCUCAAGCUCCUGGCACAUUCUGAGGCAGCUCCUCCCGUUAUGGGCCCCAAGAGCGCUGCUACCUCCCAAGGGAACACAGAGAAGGUGGCUGGCGUCUGUCCUGCGCAGCGAACGGUGGUCCGGGGAUGCUCCUGGACGGGGUGGAGCAGAUGGAUGACAGAGAAGUUGGGGGGCCCUGAGGAACAAGAGAAGCUGUGUUGGUGGCAGCAAAGGAAGACACCAGCCUGAAGGAGGACCUGCCCACCGCUGACCUACCGCAUCCGCUGCUGGCCUCCACCUGCUAGCCCAGGCCAGGGCCCAGGGUGUGGGUGCUGGACACGUCGAGGGGCACAGGGAGCCAAGACUGCCUCAUCCAAGCCCCAGAGCCUGCAGCUAACAAGCUAACAGGGAGACGGUAUGUAGCAAACAGUCACACAAAUAGUUCUUUCCCUCACUCCUUGUGUCCUCCUAUUCACCCUCCCUUCUUUGUCCUUUUCUUAAAAUUAGAAGCUAAAAAUAUGUCCAUUGUAGAAACUUAGAACAGUACAAGAGCAUAGAGAAACAAAGUUAAAAAUAUCAGUUACCUGUAAUUCUGGCAUCCAGAAAUAUCCACUUUAAUAAGGUGUUCAAUUUUGUAAGCAAACUUUAAAUUUUAUUAUAUCCUAAGCCUCUUCAUGUCAUUAAUUUUUCUAAAAUUUGAGCCUUUGUGGCUGCCUAGGGCCCCAUUUAUUUCACCCAUCCCCAGUUGUUGGACAUUCAUGUCUCUUCCACAUUUUCACCCUCAUAAAAAAAUGCCGCCACAAACAUCCCAGAAGAUAAAUCUUUGUCACAAUCUCUAAUUAAUUCAUUAAGAUAAAUUCCAGGGAGUGAAAAACAGUGUUUCAAAUGGUAUGACUAUUUUUAAAGCUAUCUGGACAUGUGGCCAAGUUACACUCUUGGGAACGUCAUGGAAAAUCCCAGCAGAAGUCUAAGAAAGGAUCUAGAUCCAGCUCCUUGAACCCAGCCAGCACUGGGUUAUCUUCCCGCUUUGCGAAAUUUGUCCUGUUUUCAUUUCCUUGUCAGCAAGAUUGAAUUUUUUUUUUGUAUGUUCCUAACCCAUCUAUAUUUUGUUUUCUGGAAAUUUUC
RNAcentral lists this long non-coding RNA (1972 nucleotides) under Homo sapiens (human). Its description in RNAcentral is "HSALNT0115647". Lineage: Eukaryota; Metazoa; Chordata; Mammalia; Primates; Hominidae. The record is from RNAcentral.